Molecule: long non-coding RNA, 231 nt
Organism: Centropristis striata (black sea bass)
Lineage: Eukaryota; Metazoa; Chordata; Actinopteri; Perciformes; Serranidae
Exons: 3
Source: RefSeq, a predicted model, not a curated record
AGCAUGUGGUGAUGCCAUUGUUACAGAGGUUCCUGCCAAACAACGGAACCCAAAUUCCUCAAGAGAUUAAAUUGGCUUUCCACGAAGUGUUCCAUCUGGAUCAUGUGGAUGGCGUGGAUGAUGAGGAUGAGGACGAUGAAACCCCUGAUAUCCAGGAACUCUGUAGCAUCACAUUUGACAAGAGACCUUGCGGGCUAACCGACGCGGUGGAAAACAUAGCCAAUGUUUUGC